This 1282-nucleotide long non-coding RNA is filed under the name Mus musculus (house mouse). Its description in RNAcentral is "predicted gene, 30262". Lineage: Eukaryota; Metazoa; Chordata; Mammalia; Rodentia; Muridae. The record is from RNAcentral.
AGGAUAAUGCCCUCACUUGAUAAAAGGAGAGACUCUCUGUCAGCUGCCCGCAUCCUCCCUGAAGCUCUGGAAUCUGACUUCAUGGAGCAUUUGAGCAGCUAAGCUUUUCCUGACCCCCUCCCUCCCACCACCACUCCCGCCUUCCCCCAGUUGCUGAGCAUAAUUGAGAAUUAAUUGCAUGUCUGCUUAUUAUUUUGCUUACUUAAUUUGGUCUAAACGUUGUUCACACUCCAGACUUAAGGCCUGGAAGUGGCUGUCUUCAGUAGGAGACUUGGGAGUGCUCUCCUGUAGGAUCCAAGACUUCUCAUCUUUCCGAUGCGAACUGAAUUAUGCUAGCAUGUCAACCAGGACAUUUCAGAGAAGCAUCGAACAGAAACGUGUUAGUAAACCUCUUACCAGAACACCCUCACUAUCGAUUUUUUUUUGUCACUAAAACACAAACCAGCAUGGGACAUUAAACAGGACCUUUGGUAUUUGGUGUUGGGAAAAUGCCCCCUUGGAUCUAGAGCUCUUUAGGAGUAAUGGCUUCCCGAAAAGAACUAUAGAGAAAAAGAAGGCAGAAUAACCCAGGUGCCUGAGCAUCUUUGAGGAGGCCCCGAUGUGACUACCUGAAACCAGUCUAUGUCAGCACUUCUUGCUACCUGAGAUAUACAUUAUUCAUGGUUUAAGCCAUUCUGAGUCAGGACUUUUUUUUUAUUGAAACUCGGAGCUGGAAAUAGCCAAGUUUACCCACCAAGAAUAACAUCUGGAUUAUGAACCCUGGAAAUAUAACCACUGUCAUUUUGUGUCCCUGGACUAUAUUAAGCUCUACCACAUGGUUUCCAACUUGAGAGUCACUUGAACAAGAGGAGAAGAAUAGGGGCGAAUGGCAAAACCCUGUCCCUUUUAUGGAGGAUUGUCCUCCGCCUCGGACAUGUCGCUCCCUGAUUGGCUGCAGCCCAUCAACCGAGUUGUCGUCAAGGGGAAGGCAGAGCACAUGGAGUGGAGAACUACCCCGGCACAUGCGCAGAUUAUUUGUUUACUACUUAGAACACAGGAUGUCGGCGCCAUCUUGUAAUGGUGAAUGUGAGGGUGGCUCCUCACAACAUCCCUUUAAUCCCAGUACUGAAGGCAGAGGCAGGUGGAUUUCUGAGUCUGAAGACAGCCUGGUAUAGAGAGCUAGUUCCAGGGCUAUACAAGAAGACUCUGUCUUGCAAAAAAUGAAACAAAACAAAAUAAAACAAAUGAAUAAACAAAAAGAAAGAAGCUUCAAUUUUUAUAAAAUAAAAACUAAUUUACUUUA